UUUCCCUUAAUCCUUCCCCACGUCCCCGUCCCCCCCUUUAUUUUUUCAGUUUAACUUUUUUUUUUUUUUUUUUUUUUCCGCUCGCGGAGGGAGGGAGGGGGUCGGUUGGCAGCGGAGAUUUUGUGCGUGGGGCCACGGCAGCCGCGCCCGUGGCUUCCCCCCCUCCCCGCGCCGAGGGAAGCCACGGGGGUAACGAGCGGCCACGGAGGACGUCUGCGGCCGCCGGGGAGCUCCACCGCCCUGAGCCGGAGCGGGCCGGGCCGGGCUGCCCGGCAGCCGCAGCCGAGGAGGUAACGCCGCUGUGAGAACUGCCGGAAGCGGGAAGCACGGCGGCCGCUUCCCGCCCUUCCCGCCGACCGCGAGAGGAGCGCCCGCGGAGCCCGCCCGGAGGGCCGGGCGCUGCGCCGGGCCCCGCGCUGAGGGCUGCGGAGAGGAUCCCGCCCGCCUCCCUGGCAGCGGGCUCCCAGGGAGAGUGUCUGCCCUGCCGGCACAGCAGACGCCUUGGGUGAUUCAGAAAUAAGCAGUGGGAGCGCUCGGUGAUUUUCACGGGAGGAAGACAGCAGCCAGCAAGGCCCCAGCUCCCUGCCAUCUUGAGCCCUUCCUGGUGAUUUGCAGCACAGAUAAACAGAUCAUUUGCAGAAGAAAAUCAGGAGAAACCGAGCAGGGUUUGCCAGUAUCUCAGAGAUCUUUCCAGGAAGCCUCUUCUUUAACAAGGCCUCAGAUUUAAAGAUACUGAAACAGGAAUAUCUCAACAUUCAUAAUACUGACUACAUUAAGAAAAAUUUUGCUGUCAGUUUAUACUCGUGUAAAUAUGCAAGUAGCAGUUCAGUGAAGCAUCGCCGGAAAAGGACGGUUCUGUUUCACAUUCUAGUAACUGAUCUGUUAGUUUAACAAUCCUGUUUCAUUUUUCCUUUUUUUUUUUUUCCUUCUCUUUUUGUUACUCUUGGAAAUCCGGGGUGCUAGUUGAUUUGUUGAUUUCCCUUCUCUUACUAGUACCCAUUUCAAAAGGUUCGGCUGUAUUCUGCUCAGGUUUUGUUCUGACACAUGGAAAAUCUUUUUAUUCUUUUUGCAAGCAGUAGGUCGGUGAGGGAGAGGUCUGCACUGUAAAAUAGCGUACCUACUAAAUUGAACUCCAGUGGGAGACGAAAUGAGAAAGAAGAGAAUGGCUGAGGCACGUCGUUUGUCGCAGAUGUUCGUGCAGUUCUGUGUUUUAUUUUAAGCUGGAUUCAUCAAACAUGCCAAAGAGUAAUUUUUGUCUGAUAUGAAGUUUCUAUCUGUCUUCUAAGGAGACUAAGUGGGUUAAGUUUAAACCGUGGUUCGAAAAUGCAAGGAAACGUUGCCGAUCGGACACAAGAAAGUAAGACUGUUUUUGCAAUCUUAAUUCAGUAGUAAGAAGCAAAAUGUAUUAGGAUUAAAUUGCUGUGUAACACAGUUACUUUAGUUACAAAAUCCCUUUGUGUACUAAGCGCCAAUAUUUCACCAUAAAUGUCAGAAUUCCAUAGAUGAUAAAGGGUGCUUGCUCUGUCGGAGGGUAAGCAUGAAAUGCCGACGUGAUAACGUCUGAUACCAAAAUGGUGUAUGCUGCUUUUACAGUAUUUCGUAAGUUUAUAACAUAACUUUAUUACUAAAACUUAGUGAAAACGCAUGAGAUAAGCACGAAUGUAAUACUUUUUUUUUUGAGAUAGGCUGAUUAUCAUAUUUAAUAGAGUAGAACACAAAUGAGAAGGCCCAGAAAUAAGAUUACUGUAAAAGGGGGAUUUUGAAAAAUUCAUCAUAUCAAACUCAUUCUCAGUUCUUAUUAGUUUCUAUCUCUUUUAACAUGAUUUUCCCUUUUUAAAGUUCGUUUCUGUCCCUAUUCCCUCAAAAAUUCUACGCUCCUUCUCCAAAAAGGGAAGAAUGUUAUGGCUACAAAUACCUUCUGUUUAUUGAAGCAAAAUGAUUUUUUUCCCCAAAUGAAAAUAGAUGCAUUAAUUUGCUAAACUUUUCCAGUGAUGUUUACGUGUUAUUUCUGAGAAAUGAUGAGGGAUGCCUGAUUUACUGCAGCUUACUAUGAUGUAGUAGCUGUAGUCGAGCAUUUUUCUUAUUUGUAAUCAAAUAUACAGAAUUGUCAGCCUAUUUGCAUUUAAGUACCUGAAAGCUGAAUUGGAAACAGUAUUUUUAAUACAGUGAAUUUGACAUUUCAGUCUGCACUUGCUUUUUUGUUUUCUAAAUGAGCACUGAUUAUCAGAAAAAUCAAGGCUUACAUAAUCAAGCCGUACAUUUUUCUGCUCUUCUUUCUCUUCCCCCACUUUAGCCAUCAUUUUCCUCUGAAAAAUGAAAUUUUUUGAAUAGAGAAUUACUGUGACAUACUAAUUAUAUACACAUUUUCAUGGGUCUGCAUAACCAGGCUAUUUGUAUGUAUUUAGUAGAAGAAGGCCAUCGACAAAAUAUUACAACCUUGAGAUGGCUAAAGUUUAAAAUUACAGUAAUCAUUAAAUACAGCAUCAUCUUGUUGAUGUACCUGCCUGUGUACCAUUGGGUCAUUUUUCUUUGCUUGGAGAAGUAGGGUGCUUCUAUUUAUUCCGUAUUCGGAAUACAAAAAUAAGAACGUCCUACCCCAUUUUUUUUAAUCAUCGCAAAGCAGAUUCUCCUUCAUAAAGAAGCUGGUUUUAAUAUUCAGUUUUCAGAGGAUGAGAAGUGAUUGCUGUGGACAAAUAUAUAGCAAAUGAAUUGAAGCUCUGUCCUACUAGAACAAUUACAAAUUGAAUUAAUUACAAAGAAUAAUAUUAAAAUUUUAACUAAAUAUGUUAACACGAACUCCUGCCCAUAGGUGGCAGUCAGCUUUCACUAUAGUAGGGAUGCCAAACUUUUGGUUCAUGAUAUUCGUACUUAUGCUGAUGUAAUUUUAAUGGAGUAUGCAAAUGUGCAUGUACAGAAGUAUGCAGAUGCCUGCACUGGGAGAGGUGGACGAGGUAAAACGAACCCUAAAAUUAAUUAUUGAGUAUGAGUAUUCUUAAUUACUGUAUAUAAGCAAAGUAAAUUCCCAUUUUCUGGAGAAAAGUUCCAAGUAAAAACACGCAAACUAUUUUUUAUCCAUCCGUUGCUGAUGCUCUACUAAAAGAAGUAGAGAACAUCCAGAAGCAAGCAAAUUUGCCUCUGCAAAUUGAGUGAAAAGGCAAGUAUCUGGCCAGCCUUAGACACUAUGACCUCAUACUGUGCCCAGUCCUCCGAGCAAUGUUCCUAUUUCAUAGUUCUUUAUCUGUAAAUUACAGAAGUGCUGCAACGAUCAUGUUGUAUCCUUGAAAUCCUAACAGUACAUAUGGCAAACCCAGAAAAGGUACUGGGAGUGAAUGCAUUCUCUCUGAGAUGGAGAGCCAGCAGCCUGCCAUUCUCUUUCUCUUUGCAGAGCUUCCUUAGACACCCGUGGCAGCACUGCACAAGGAGAAGAUGCUGCCAAUGAGAGCAGAGAUUCACUCGAUUUUGCCCUCAGCUUUUUUAGGGCUUUAUGUGGUUUAUGAGGAUUUCCUUUUGCAAUAGAACUAAGGAGGCACUUGGGACCCCACCAAAACUGAAGGGGAUAGAAGAAGCUAAUAAGGCCAAGUUGUCUCAGUCUAAAAUAAACAGAACCGAUGAAACUACAUGUGACAUACUAAGACAACAGAGCUCUCAUGAGAAAAGAAGACUGAAAAUUAAAAUUCCUGAGUAGGAGUGUUCUACUGUGAUGGAAGAUGAAGGGCUCCGAAUUGAACAGAAUGGUACAGUAUUAUUAAAACAGAAGGCCUAAUUCUCCUUACGCAAGGAAGGCAACUAUAAGCACCGUUGUAUAAGCCAAAGCAGUCAGUAUUACUGACUGCUGAAGAUUUCAUAGUUGAACAGGAUAUUUCCACGUGUAUGCAGCCACUACAUGACUAAUUAGAUACUUGCACAUGCACAGCCCCGUUUGUUCCCCAACUAUAAUAAUUAUGAGGAUUGCACUCCACAUUAAUUUACACUCUUGUGUAACAGAAUUGACUACAAGAUAGCAGGUGGUGAUAAACUGGCUGGUGGCAAAUGUGUAAAUUUGAUAUGCAUUUUGAAAAUCAAAGCUUUCAUACUCAGUGCUGAUCUUGACAUAGAAAAGAUGGGUGAAGAACUCCUCAGCCAUCAAUUCUGAUCCCAGCUAUUGCAGACAGCCAUGUUGUACUGUGCAAGUUAUCUGCAGAGGUAUCAAACUCCAUCUUGAAGAUACCUUUGUCAUAAGGUUGCUCCUCAUUUCCAUUCCUCUAAAUGGUUACAGAUUUCUGAUAACAAGUAGUCAAAACCAGCUGACGCCCUCAUGUUCUGUGAACAUCUUUGAUUUCAGUUUAAAUAGCCUUUCUGUCUCCCUAAGGAUAAAGCCCCUUCCAAUCUGUCACUCCUUGAGCGUUCAUAGAUUUCUUUCUUUUCAUCGUUUACUGCCAUAACCUACUUGGCCUCAGCUCUGCCCAAGCAGCGGUGCUAUACCUGACACAGAAGAGGAUGCCUUUCCCCAGCCAGUCUUCUAAGCCUCCUUUGCACCUUUUGCACUUCCAAUAAAUUUUUUUUAACACACAAGAUUAGAAGUAUGCAUAGUACUCCAGAGAAGAUCUUGUCAGGGCCUUUUGUGGUAGCAUUAACACUUUCUUAUCCCUGCUGGAACUAAUAUUUUGAUAUUUUAAAACUUUUUUUUAUUCUUUGCAGACCUACAUGCUGUCAGAGUCUCAAAGGCCUUGAGGACUGAUUGAGACACCUGCUUUACCUUUUUUUAUGCAUACUGAUAGCAAAAUUCUUGUUAUUCAUUCCUAGUUUAUGGCCUUGAACUUUACAUCAUUACUGGUAUUGCAUGACAAGGGUGUCAAAAGGCUCUUUAUAAUAAGGGUGUCAUCAGUUUCAUUCAGGCCUCGGGCUUUCUGUGAGUUUUCUAGCAUGCCCAAAUUUGUUCAGCAGUCUCUAUGCUUUGCACAGCUAUGGACGUGAGAUAGUACACGCACCUGAUACAGCACAGGACCUUGCAGAUGAGCUAGCCUGGCUCGUGAAGCAGAGUUGUCUCUAGUAUUACAUUACCUCAGGCACAUCACAGUAUGUUAUUUCAGGUAAGUCUUCAGAAAGUCGGGCAGUACUUCUGACUCAGUGUCAUACCCUGGCUUCAUUUGACAGCUCUGGGACCAAGAGACCCAAUUUUGAAGUUUUUUUUCUAGGAUCAACAGAGAUGGACUUUAUUUCGCAUUGUAUUUUUUUCUGCCUAACUUGUACUUUAAUCUCCUGUCUACGGGUUAUGCCUGUAAGAGUGAAGGUGGAUCAGGAUGCACAAGAGUUAAGUGGCACUCUUGAAUAACUUGUAAAAAUAUGAAUUAUAUUAUGCUAGAGGAUUUUGGUUAUUGUUCAUACAACAAAAGGCACAAAAUCAAUUUUGUAUUAUGGACGUGAUUCAGUGUCCUGGAACCUGGCACACACCAAAUGCAGCAAAAGCUCCUAAGUAUGGUAUUUCCAUUGUGAAGAUAAACCCCACUGGUCAAGUUUUCUUAGCUGUAAUGCAGGCACGGAAAUAUAUCAAGUAGAACUGGAUUUUGUGCCCUUUGUUGCAGGAAAUUCCAGUCCCCCCUUUGUGCUAACAGUGCCCUAGGUUUGUGUCACCAGCUGAUCAUACACUUAAUUCCUAGGUUAAGGUACUCAGUGAAAAUAGUUAAUACAGUCUGUCUAGUAUCGUUCCUUAAGGAAGUCCAACAGGAGCCUUCCAUUAGCUUGGCACUUCUUCAAAACUGCUUCACAGACUUACAUUCAUUGUUAGAAUUCAUUUAGUGAUUGCUAUCUUCCGUAGCUUAACUGAUUACUUUUUUUCCAAGUAGUAUACUAAAAAUAUUUUCCUGAAAUCUAGUCAGAUUAGGUCAGCUUGUUUCCUUGAUGUGGAAAGGUAGGCUUUUUUUCUUCCUUUUUUUUUUUUUUUUUUUUUAAUGUGUGGCUAGUGUGGCAUAAUCUACUCUUAGGAAAGCUUUGUGACAUUUUUCUUAUUUUCCAUUUAUCCCCUUAUGUCCUAGGCUCCCUUGAUCCAAUUUCUUGAUGGGCAGUCCCAGUUUUUGGGUGUUUUUUUUCCUAAUAUUUUAAUCAGUAGCUUUGGUUACAUCUAAAAUCCCAUUUGAGGUAGUUGCUUUUCUACUUAGAUGCAAAGACCGAUCUGUACAAGUUUUCCCACUCUGAAAUUAAGGAAGUGGGAACAGAACUAAUUUUUUGUCAUUUCACCUCCAUCUAGAGGAUUCACAGAGAUGCUCACUCCUAGAGAUGGUGGUGAAAUACGGAUUUUCUUGGAAAUUUUAGCACGUGGCUGAAAAGGCCAUAAAAAUGAGAGCCUCUAAAUCCUGCAGUUUGCUGCUCUGGGAUUUUUGUACUUCACUUCUAGUGACAUCACAAAGGGGGAAGGAAAGUGCUGCCAUGAAAGCAUCCAUGUGCUGCUAGGAAUUACAAAGAAAGGGAAAGGGAACAAAUUUAAAAACAACCAAUCAAAAACACGGUCAUGGCGCUAUGUAAAUCUUUUCUAAACACUUUCUAAGCACUGGGUGUGUUUCUGCCUUUAGCAUACAUGCGUAGCAGCGGGCAUGUUUAAAAACACAGGACAAUCAAAGCUAGAAAGCCAGCACCAGAACCUGCUGUACAAGGUGAAAACAACACUUUGCUCCAUGUGCUUCUCCACAGACUUCAAAGGCCAAGAGAAAAAAAACCAAUGCGAGAGAGGGCAUUGCUGAAAACAUGCUAUGCAAUGAUGAAGGUGGCCUGUAGAUACCGUAUGUUUAUGCUUUGACCCUUCUUUGCACCUGUCUUCCCCCCUAUUAUCCUCUUAGAUCAAAUCUAUUAAUAAUUGCAAAGUAGUUGCAAUAGCACACUGCAGAUCAUUAGUCAGCAGGGGGUAGCGUUAUCGCCAGAAUUGUAACUCACACAUGCACUACAUGGGGUGAAAGAGAUGUGGCAGCCGGCUUUGCCGUGGUAGUUUCACAGAUGAGGCAACUGGGAGUACCUUGAUGGUCAGGAUUAGUCUUGUGAUUAAUCACAGUGUCACAGAAUCAUCACGGAAUAGCUUGGUUUGGAAGGGACCUUAAAGCCCAUGCAGUUCCACCCCCUUGCCACAGGCAGGGCUGCCACUCCCCAGCUCAGGCUGCCCAGGGCCCCAUCC
Numida meleagris (helmeted guineafowl) is the source of this 7138-nucleotide long non-coding RNA. RefSeq lists it as uncharacterized. The transcript has 4 exons. Lineage: Eukaryota; Metazoa; Chordata; Aves; Galliformes; Numididae. The record is from RefSeq and is a predicted model, not a curated record.